RNAcentral lists this ribosomal RNA (583 nucleotides) under uncultured fungus. RNAcentral describes it as "SSU rRNA". It matches the Rfam family "Eukaryotic small subunit ribosomal RNA", at positions 83 to 668 of the family's 1831-position model. Lineage: Eukaryota; Fungi. The record is from RNAcentral.
GAAACUGCGAAUGGCUCAUUAAAUCAGUUAUCGUUUAUUUGAUAGUACCUUACUACAUGGAUACCUGUGGUAAUUCUAGAGCUAAUACAUGCUAAAAACCCCGACUUCAGGAAGGGGUGUAUUUAUUAGAUAAAAAACCAACGCCCUUCGGGGCUCCCUGGUGAAUCAUAAUAACUUAACGAAUCGCAUGGCCUUGCGCCGGCGAUGGUUCAUUCAAAUUUCUGCCCUAUCAACUUUCGAUGGUAGGAUAGUGGCCUACCAUGGUGGCAACGGGUAACGGGGAAUUAGGGUUCGAUUCCGGAGAGGGAGCCUGAGAAACGGCUACCACAUCCAAGGAAGGCAGCAGGCGCGCAAAUUACCCAAUCCCGAUACGGGGAGGUAGUGACAAUAAAUACUGAUACGGGGCUCUUUUGGGUCUCGUAAUUGGAAUGAGAACAAUUUAAAUCCCUUAACGAGGAACAAUUGGAGGGCAAGUCUGGUGCCAGCAGCCGCGGUAAUUCCAGCUCCAAUAGCGUAUAUUAAAGUUGUUGCAGUUAAAAAGCUCGUAGUUGAACCUUGGGUCUGGCUGGCCGGUCCGCCUCAC